RNAcentral lists this transfer RNA (82 nucleotides) under Alienimonas californiensis. RNAcentral describes it as "Planctomycetes bacterium CA12 tRNA-Ser". The record is from RNAcentral. Lineage: Bacteria; Pseudomonadati; Planctomycetota; Planctomycetia; Planctomycetales; Planctomycetaceae.
UUCGCUGGGCGGCGGGGCGACCGCCCCGGCGGUUUACUCCACCCCGCAGACGCCGCCGGCGUUCCAGCCGCCGCCGGCGGGA